Heterocephalus glaber (naked mole-rat) is the source of this 115-nucleotide ribosomal RNA. The record is from Ensembl. Lineage: Eukaryota; Metazoa; Chordata; Mammalia; Rodentia; Bathyergidae.
GUCUACAGCCAUACCACCCUGAACGCGCCCGAUCUCGUCUGAUCUUGGAAGCUAAGCAGGGUCGGGCCUGGAUAGUACUUGGAUGGGAGACCAAAGAGUUUGUGUGCUAGAGGCA